CUGAGGGCGCGAGCUUGGGCCCCCGGGUCCCCCAGAACUGGGGAGCUGAGGUAAAAAAGGCUCUGGGUGCCUUCGGGAGGCUCGACCGGCGUGUCCAGGCGCCCCUCGGACCCACCUGAGGACGCGGGCGUCGCGGGCUGUGGAGAAGCCAAGAGCCCACUGGUGCCCCGGCGGCCCCUGGGGCGGCUCUGGGCUGCGGGCGCGGCGCCAGGCCUCGUUCCGCGGUCGCCGCAGCCCCGGAGCCGGGGCGACCCCCAUUUCACAAGUGGAGAAAGUGAGGAGGCGCCCGAGCGGGACUCGAACCGUGGGCUGCCGUCGCCCCCCGCCCGCGGCCCCCUCACUCAGAAGGCGGGAAAGAGACGCACGACGGCCGCCUCCGGGACGCCCUCAGCGGCCUCGUCCCCGUCCCCGUCCCGGCAAGAAUUCUCAGGUCUGCGGGGACCAGAAACAGGCUCCAGACGCAGGAGGAGUCGCCCGCGCACCCUCGGGCCACGUUGCCUCCAGCUAGGGGAGUGCAGUGGGCCGGAGUCUCGAGGCCACGCGCAGGGCUCUCCCGUGCGGGUCCGGCGACAGCCCACCGGGUGGUGACCUUAUGCAGCAAGGCCUGGGCUGGAUGGGCCUUGAUCCCGACCGCAGUCGCGUUGAGAUGGCGCCAUGUGGUGAAACCGUGCGUCACCCUUGUGAAUGGGCUGCCCACCGUGUCCAGUUUACCCAUUAGAAACCACUGUCCUCAGAUUCUUGGAGGGUACAUCGACGGACAGGAACCCCCAAAGGCAGGAGCGAAUUUGUUUCAGAAUCUGGGCUGUGGUUUACAAACAAGUUCAGAGAGAUUUUGGUGCAAAGCUACAGACGGAACUGGUUUACUGCACAUUAUAAGUGGAAAUCUUUAUUUUUUUCUGUUUUUAAGGAAUCCUGUGGCAAGGUCAUUAAUCAUAUUAUCCAUUAUACGAGAAACAAAUGGAUUUGUCACUUAUACACAGAAGCUGAGGUUGAUUCUAAAAACAAACUAUCAAAGUAAAUGAAAUUAUUAUGAUAAUAUGAAAUAGACUGCAGUGAUUAAUCUCCAGAAACCGAAUUUUGACCUGCUGUGCACUUCGAACAAUAGCUUCCAUUAUGUAAAUAGCUGUGGGGUUUUCAAGGAUAAUGUUGCUAAAUUACAAGAAAAAGUUCUAUACAUGAAACUCUCUUCAUGCAUAAACAUUAGAGACAGGAAAUCUGGUCUCCACAGCACUCAAGGCAGAGGACAGUGGAAGCCAUGAUGGUUCAGGAAUCACAUCAACUCCCUGACUGUUUGGUUGGCCUUCUUUGAGAUUCCCUCCAGAUCUGUGGCCUUUCUGCCCUGAGUUCCCGCAUCCAGAGUGGCGCUGAGCACUUCUGUAAAGCCAGAGUACAAUGGAGCCUCCCUCCAACCCACACAGGUCCAGGGGGCUGCACUCUCGGGAAGGUUGGGCCAUCGCCCGGCCAGGACUCAGCUCAUGGAUGCACAUACAGAGUCGCUUCACAUGGUCCGCGUCUCCCUCCUGCACUCAGCGCUUUCCAGGCCUGCGUUGUUGGGUAGGAGCUCCCUGGAGAGGAAGCACAUCCAGCUGGGCCCGCUUCUAACACCGUGCAUCCCCAAAAGCCAAGGCUGAUGUCUACACUCGUGGGGGCCUGGCGCCAUGGUUGGUCAGCAAGGCCAGCAGCUGGGAAGAAUCAUUAGUACUAGAUGGAGGCCCUGCUGGGACCUUUCCAACCAUCAGCCACAGCACCCUUAGCACAGAGAAGAGGCCAUGUGAGGACACAGUGAGAAGGCAGCUGUCUGCAAGCCAGAAAGAGAGGCCUCACCAGACACCAACCCUGCUGACAGCUUGAUCUCAGACUCCCAGACUCCAGAACUGGGAGCCCUGAUGUGUAGCAUCUGUCAAUUUCUGUGAUGAAUAUACUUCCACCAAGGCCUAUUAAACGCUGCCAAAAGACCCGGCACAGGUCACAGACCCACGGGACAGCGAGGUCACAGAAGCCAAGAAAGCAAAGAAAAUGCUUUUCAGAAAGGAGGUAACGGCCAAGCAUGCUGGACGCUGCCAAGGGCACAGCGAGGUGACCGGAAACGCCCGUUCAUUCUGGACACCCAGAGCUCGGAGAGUAUGUCUUCGAGAAGGUUUCUCUUCAAAAGACCAGGGCACGUCUGAGGCAUUCUCUUUCCCCCCCGCACCCCCCACCCCCGCACUACAAGGCCAUAAAUUUCCCUCCCUAAUCUCCUCUCCUGCUCUGUGAGUUACAGAAGCUCCUGGGUCAUUUAUCAUUCAUCAUUAUCACAGUGACACAUCCAGCCAUCUAAUUCAUUGUCUCCCAGCGCUAACUUCAUCUCCUUCCUUGAAUACUCACCCGGCUGGAAUCUCUUCUGACAAACUCCUGGCACCGCUCUGGCAUUAUCUUCCCCCAAACAGGCACGAUCCUUUUAGAACUUUAUUGGCGAUCUCUUAAAAGAGCCCUUCAGAAACAGUCGGGGCCUCAGUGUAUCACGGAUCACUUAGCACUUAGGGAGGACAAAUGACUCAGCGUGACUGCCUGUUCUCGCUGUACUGCCAAGGAAAUUCAAGGCGCCACCUCCGAGGUCUCCCCGGGGCCAGAGAAGGCACCCAACAUGUCCCCUGGCUCAUAAGUGACCCCACUGACUGCCUCAUCCGUGGACUGUCUGGGGAGGGUGGAGGAUGAAGCCAGCGUCCUGGAUUCCCACAGGAGUCUUGAGCGGUCAGCAGACCAAUCUCACAAAGUCAAGGGCCGGAAGGAGAGGAGGCGUGGCCCGUGGUACACACGCUAUAUGGAGACCUCCCUGCCUGUGUGGGUUCCCUGUGCUGGAGGCGGCAGGAUGGGAGAUUCAGAGGCUUCCCCUUCUCAGGUCAGAUCUGAAAGAGGAACAGGUGUGAAUUUAGCAAAGGAGCCGCUAGCUCGCCCCUUCCCGCCCCAGGCCCGGCGACGUGCACAUCAACAAUCCUUGUUUGCAGACUGCAUCCUGCAGAAGCACUCCUGCAGGGAGCCUCCUCGACCCCAGAAUCGUUUAACGACUCAGAAGCGCCAGGCUUCCCCCAGGCAUCUCCUGCCUUCCUGGAGGGACGCCCCGAAUCCCCCAAAAGUUCUGAAAAGUAAUUUCAGUCUCAUUAAUUCUGGAAACAAACAACGGCAGAGGGAGAAGGAAGAUGAUGAGCAGAAUUAAAGGACAAAGCAGAAGGGGACCCAAGGCUCUAAGGAGAGCCAGACAACCGUCUGCUGGCCACUUUGGUGGAAAGACCUCCUUCCACACCAUCUGCACUCUCCUGUCCGGCAGGCAGGCCUCCAGGAGAAUGACCGUGAUGCCCACAAAUUCACCUGAUUAGCCUGGAACCAGAACAAGGAGAGUGAGACCACAUACUACAGGAUAUUCAGAAGGACCAUUUGUCCUGGGGACCAGACCUACAGAGCUACGAGCCAAGGAAUUCUGAAUCAACAAGGCAUGUAAGGCCAGGACUUGGGCACAAGGCACAUGCAUUAAUCAUGGCUUCCAGUGGUGGUUUCUCUUUCCCUAACUGGGAUUGUCUGUUACACAACCUAACGAAUGGCUCAUGUGGCAGGCGUGGGCACAGGCCUCCCCGGCAGCAACUCCGGCAAUCCCCACUGGCUGGGGUACACUGGGGGCCGAGGAAGUCCAGAUGUUUGGUGCCUCUGGGACAAUCUGCUCAACCAGGAACCAAACCUAAAACAGCCAGCCUGGAGUCUCAGCUUCUCUGGCAGGUGGGAACACAUGAGGCAGACACUCCACGGGUGCAAAGGAGAAGUCAAAAGAAAUCCACGGGACUUCCCAGGUGGUGCAGUGGUUAAGAAUCCACCUGCCAGUGCAGGGGACGUGGGUUCGAGCCCUGGUCCGGGAAGAUCCCACAUGCCGCGGAGCAACUAAGCCCAUGUGCCACAACUACUGAGUCUGCGCUCUAGAGCCCACAAGCCACAGCUACUGAGCCCGAGAGCCACAACUACUGAAGUCCGUGCACCUAGAGCCUGUGCUCCGCAACAAGAGAAGCCACCACAAUGAGAAGCCCGCGCACCACGACGAAGAGUAGCCCCUGCUCGACACAACUAGAGAAAGCCUGCGCGCAGCAAGAAAGACCCAACGCAGCCAAACAUAAAUUAAAAAAAAAAAAAGAGAAAGAAAUCCACAAGCAUCCUUCAGAUGGUGGUUCUGGCCACCCACACUGUCCCCCAGGGCAGCCCUUCUGCAAAGCCAGGAGAGAGAGGAAAACCUGCCCCACUCAGGUGGGCCGCGGCCCGGCGGAUCCUGAUGCUUCUUGUUGAGAGCCGCCAGCCUGCCUCCCGGGCACAGGCAGACAGCAUGGAGAGGCCUCCUCACUCUGGACCGGUCAGAGAGACAGACAGCAAAGCACUGUUUUGCCUUGGGGCAGGGUCAACACAGAGCUCCUGUCCGGGAAGCCGUGGUGUAGAGAAAGGAUGAUCUCCCGACCCCAUCCUGAGCAUUCUGAGUGGAAACCAGACCCCGUGGGUGCCCAGCCAGGAUCAGUUUGGCAGAAGUACCUGGAGUGUGAGAAACUAAUAAGAUCCAUUCAACUUGAAGGCUAAUUUUAUAUGACUGUGUCCAUUUUUCCCCCAAGAAAUUUCACACCUUGACACAAAUGAGGAGAUUCUAAGAAAGAGAAAUUUAAUGUAAGUAGCAUUUCCAACGAUGGAGGGGUAUGUGGAAAUGGGCCUUUUUCUCUGUGACCAGUGGCCUCCUGAGAUACAUGAAAGGAAGACCGCUCCCCCAACAUGGUGUCCCCCCCACGACAAUAAAGCCCCAAAUUGGCUCAUCUCACAAGGACCUUGUACAUCUGAUGGCGUCUUUUGAAGGCAGGUCAGUGAGAAUGAUACCUGAGCUGCAACUUAGCUGGCAUUACCUGGCAUACAGUGAGUGCCCAAUAAAUGCUGGCUGGCUGGCUGGCUGGAUGGAUAGAUAAGUGAGUGAGUUAUUCAACAGUCCCAUCACAAGCCAACAUUCAUUAAAGCCUUUCCAUAACAAUCUAGACAUAGAAGAGUUGUUUGUGGAAAGGCAAGAACCGAAUUUGCAAACCCUCCUGUUGACUUCACAAUAAUUCAUGCUCACCUGCGUCUAAUAAAAUAUGGAAGCAAUUCUACAGGAAUGUUUUGUGCUUUAGCGAUUCAUUUAACGAUUUCCUCCAGGGGGCAAGUCAUACAUCCUCAUCCAGAUGUGUGGGGAGUUCCACGAAUAAAUCUGCAAAUAUCAAGAUGAGAUGCUCCCACCUGACCCCCGGCCACACGAGUUCUUGCUAACGGAAGCAUGAAAGUGGAGACCAGUGGAAGUCAUUCUGGCCUCUGCUCCCAGUCACGGUCCCCAAGCCCAAAGCUCCCCGUGCCUGACCCCCCUACUGCAGUGACCUGAAACGGCUAAAGGAGCUGAAUGCCCAAGGCACUUUCUUCAAGGAACUUUCCUCUGUCAAGUCCAUGCCCAGCGCUUGGCAGGACCUCGGAGAGAUGAGAUGCUCUCCACCCCAUCAGCCCUGAUUCGAGAACACCAGGAAGGAGGCUCAGGUGCCACAGCUGCUGCCACUGUCCCUGCAGACCCCAACCACAGCCCUUCACUGGGCUGAGUCCGCCUGUGUCAGCUGCCCCCCAACUCCUUGCAGAUUCAAGAACCGAUGAAUACAGAUGAGCAACACCAGCCCGGAGCUGCCUGGCGUUCCACUCACGUCCUGAUUUUCUGGGUCACCAAUUUUUUUAAUUAAACUUUUAAUUUUGAAAUAGUUGUAGAUUCUCAUGCAGUUAAGAAAGAUCCCCAAGUCCCAAUUCUUCCUCAAUUCUUCCUCCCCUGCCCCUGUCCCCUGUGGUAAUAUCUUGCAAAAUAGUAGUACAAUAGUGAGUCACCAAUUUUUUAAAAUGUCACAUCCCAUGUCUAUUUCCUAAUGUGUGAUAAGAAGUAUAUUUUCACCCAGUGGAGGCUCUUGUCUCCCCGUUCCCACUCCCAAACCUACUUGACCUCACCACCCAAUUAUUUCCCACUUUGAUAAAGAGCACAGUGUACACAGCCCCACAUUCAGGAUUUCUCUCCCUCUUCCUUGCGUUUUCUCACUUUUUUUGGUGGGGGGCCAAAACAGUCCUGAAUCCACCCACUUGUCACUCUCUGGACCACAAUGACCCUGGCAUUAGCCCCUGUCAACGCUCUUCAGCAGAACCAGCUAAAGAAUUUGUAGGGCCCAGUGAAAAAUGAACGUACAGAGCCCCGUGUUCAAAAACUAUUAAGAGGGACUUCCCUCGUAGUUCAGUGGUUAAGAAUCCACCUGCCAAUGCAGGGGACACGGGCUCAAGCCCUGGUCAGGGAAGAUCCCACAUGCCAUGGAGCGACUAAGCCCGUGCACCACAACUACUGAGCCCACGCGCCACAACUACUAAAGCCUGCGCGCCUAGAGCCCGUGCUCCGCAACAAGAGAAGCCACCACAGUGAGAAGCCCGCGCACCAAAACAAAGAGUAGCCCCCGCUCGAUGCAACUAGAGAAAGCCUGCACGCAGCAACGAAGACCCAAAGCAGCCAAAACUAAAUAAAUUAAUUAAUUAAAAAAAAAAAACUAUUAAGAAUUUCAUUAUGGCAGCAGCACAGCAUUACACCAAGCUCGGGGCACUGGUUCCACACCCACAAAGCCCCCCCUGCCCCUCAACCAGAGACCACCAGGAGCACGGCUGUCGACAAAAAGUUGGGCUUGUUAAUUUGAUGCAGGAAGAGUGAACACACACUAUGGGGAACCCUGGGGCAUCUCAGUCAGGACCUCUUACAGGACUUGGGCUUCUGUCAUAUGAUCUGGGGGAGGGUUCAGGGAAUCAAGCCUUCACUCUGGGUUAGAUGCUAUCAGGAAUCAGGGAUGGUGCUAUGAUUGGGCAUCUUAAUAAUUCUUAUAUAGAAGGUAAGAAGGACGGGACAAAGCUAGAACUGUGAUAAGUUUAAAAAGAAAAAAAGAGUCACGUUAGCCAGGAUGGGAGAUGUUUGGUUGAUUUUGCGGUUUGGAUGAUGUCCAUGUUUUGUCUGUGUUCAGACGUGAUUUCAGAAGAGUCUUGUUGCUGUCUUAACCCAUUGUGGUCACAGAGUGGCUUUGUCUGAGGUUGGUGAUCCGUGAAAUUGUUCGUGUCCAACAGGAAAAUGCCUUUUUCUCUUUCUCACCCGUCAUCUCCGGCUCAGCUGCCUGCAAGAGCCCGCACUUGCCUCCCCAUCUUCACGCUCUCUCUUCUCCACACAGCAGCCAGAGUGAUCCUGUUAAAUCAUAAGGCAGAUCACAGCUCUCCUCUGCUUAAACUUCCAGUGGUCUCUGAGUGAGUUGAACUGUGUCCAAGUCCUAAGCCCCAGUAUCUGUGAAUGUUAACUUAGUUGGAAAUAGGGCCUUGCAGUUGUAAUUAAGUUAAAGAUCUCAAGAUGCUAUCAUAUUGGAUUUAGGUUCUAAAUCCAAUGACUGGUAUCCUAAUAUAAAAAAGGUACAGAGUAUAACUGAAUCACUUUGCUGUACAGCAGAAAUUAACACAACAUCGUAAA
This is a long non-coding RNA of Globicephala melas (long-finned pilot whale), 7534 nucleotides long. RefSeq lists it as uncharacterized. NCBI's taxonomy places the organism in Eukaryota, Metazoa, Chordata, Mammalia, Artiodactyla, Delphinidae. The record is from RefSeq and is a predicted model, not a curated record.